CCCAAGCGACUGUUUAUCAAAAACACAGGUCUCUGCUAAACCGUAAGGUGAUGUAUAGGGGCUGACGCCUGCCCGGUGCUGGAAGGUUAAGAGGAGUGGUUAGCUUCUGCGAAGCUACGAAUCGAAGCCCCAGUAAACGGCGGCCGUAACUAUAACGGUCCUAAGGUAGCGAAAUUCCUUGUCGGGUAAGUUCCGACCCGCACGAAAGGCGUAACGAUUUGGGCACUGUCUCAACGAGAGACUCGGUGAAAUCAUAGUACCUGUGAAGAUGCAGGUUACCCGCGACAGGACGGAAAGACCCCGUGGAGCUUUACUGUAGCCUGAUAUUGAAAUUCGGCACAGCUUGUACAGGAUAGGUAGGAGCCUUUGAAACGUGAGCGCUAGCUUACGUGGAGGC
Molecule: ribosomal RNA, 397 nt
Filed under: Staphylococcus aureus
Lineage: Bacteria; Bacillati; Bacillota; Bacilli; Caryophanales; Staphylococcaceae
Description: partial 23S ribosomal RNA
Rfam family: Bacterial large subunit ribosomal RNA
Source: RNAcentral